RNAcentral lists this ribosomal RNA (305 nucleotides) under uncultured bacterium. RNAcentral's name for it is "bacterial SSU rRNA". It matches the Rfam family "Bacterial small subunit ribosomal RNA", at positions 337 to 640 of the family's 1533-position model. The record is from RNAcentral.
GCCUACGGGACGCAGCAGUGAGGAAUAUUGGUCAAUGGUCGGGAGACUGAACCAGCCAAGCCGCGUGAGGGAUGAAGGUACAGAGUAUCGUAAACCUCUUUUGUCAAGGAACAAAGGCGGGGACGUGUCCCCGGAUGAGUGUACCUGAAGAAAAAGCAUCGGCUAACUCCGUGCCAGCAGCCGCGGUAAUACGGAGGAUGCGAGCGUUAUCCGGAUUUAUUGGGUUUAAAGGGUGCGCAGGCGGGCUGGUAAGUCAGCGGUCAAAGCCCGGGGCUCAACCCCGGCCCGCCGUUGGAACUGGCAGU